AUGCCAGCGGUGGGUCUCUCCUUCCGGGCAACAGAGCAGGAGCAGCGGCAGUGGCACCGGACCCUGGGAGGCAGCGAACACCUGCGACGGCCGGGGCGCUUGGGGGGCGCCCAUCUCUCCGGGCCGAGCACCAGAGGAGGCGGGCGGGCGGCUGCGCCUUUUCUCCUCCUCCUGGGCCGAGCGCGCGCCCUACUUCGCUCGCUCCCUGCCUCUCCCGCGACAACAGGAGGGCGGUCGCGCCGACUGAGGCUGCGCGCACAGCAGGCUGUCCGGCCGGCCGACCGACCGACCAAGUCGGCAGCGGCAGCCACAGGAGUCUGCAAGGCGGAGAAGCCAAGCGCAGCGGAGGCGAGGUGCUGCUGCUGCUGCUUGCGCUGCGCGGCCGCGGGCUCCCUUUGGCCGGCCUUCCUUGUGCGCGCCUGGCCGCGAUGCGCCUCCCUCCUCCUCCUCCGGCGUAGCAACGGCAGCGGGAGGCUCCUCCUCCUUCGGCGGCGGCGGCGGCUCCUGCUCGGGUAUGCGCCCCUCCAGCCAGCAGCCGGGCCAGGCGGCUCCCGCGAGGGCUGCAGCGGUGGCUGCUGGUGGUGGUGGUGCGGCGGCGGCGGCGGCGGCGGCGGGGAAGGCCUAGCCAAGCGAGCCAGCCGCGCGCCCUCUCCGCCCGCCUCCCUUUUUCCGCCUCCGCCUCCUCCUCCUCCGCCAGCCAGCCAGCCCCGACCCGGCAGUGAUGGCAGACGAGCCGCAGCAGCACCAGCCACCUCCGACUCAGCAGCAGCAGCAGCAGCCGCCCCCCGAAGCCCCCGGCGGGGUCGUCCCGGUGGCGACGGCGGCCCCUUCGCUGCCGGCGCUGGUGCCCGGGCUGCAGGGGACCGAAGCCAGCGCGCUGCAGCACAAGAUCAAGAACUCCAUCUGCAAAACUGUACAAUCUAAGGUGGACUGCAUUUUGCAAGAAGUUGAGAAGUUUACAGAUCUACAGAAACUCUACCUCUACCUUCAGCUGCCUUCUGGUCCUAGCAAUGGAGAGAAAAG
This 1023-nucleotide long non-coding RNA is filed under the name Podarcis muralis (Common wall lizard). RNAcentral describes it as "lncRNA (ENSPMRG00000023483.1)". The record is from RNAcentral. Lineage: Eukaryota; Metazoa; Chordata; Lepidosauria; Squamata; Lacertidae.